This 479-nucleotide unclassified non-coding RNA is filed under the name Bombus terrestris (buff-tailed bumblebee). RNAcentral describes it as "misc RNA ENSBTSG00005022537.1". The record is from RNAcentral. Lineage: Eukaryota; Metazoa; Arthropoda; Insecta; Hymenoptera; Apidae.
UGAAACUGUAAAUCGUCGUCUCCCGGGAUCGAGGACGUGAGAACUGUAUCUGCGUCUGGUCUCCGGUAGGUAAGCAAACCGGGCCGAACGAGAGACAGGGACGAGAAGUUGAAGAGGAGAGGAGAGAAAGGGGAGACUCGACCGCACGCACAGCUGCGGUUACGCAUUUCGCGCAAUGCUUCUUCGCUGUACUCUCUGCAGAACCUCGGGAGAACGGCCCACGCCAACGAUCGAUUCCCUUCGAUGACAAACGAACGUUUCUUUUCAGAAACGACCGUCGAGAGAUAGCACUUGUAACCGCCUCGUGGGGAAACCUUUGACUUUGCGACGAUCCCCCGCCAAAAUGGAAAACACGAACAACGAUACACGGAUACGGUGAAUUUCUCAGUUUCUCGAUUGCUCGAAAACUUCGUCGUCUGUUUCGCGUCAGCAUCAAGAAUCGACAAGAAAACAAUUCGCAAAGACCAACCACUUCCCCC